GGAUGCAAGGGUGAUCUGGCUGUGACUUCUGUCACCCCACUGAUGGCCAGGGUUGAUUCCGCUGAUCUAGCUGCUCUGAAGCUGGGCUCUUGGAGGAAGAGGACAACCUUCCCCAAUAGAGCUGUAGCAUUCUUCGGUCAAGGGUAUAUGAGUGGCUGCACUCCCCUGCUAGAACAAGCUUCCAAAGUCCAUCUGAAACAUACGACUUAUGUGACAUAGCCAAAUUCCUUAGCCAUUCAGUGUCUGCAGGAACUCU
This 256-nucleotide small nuclear RNA is filed under the name Sarcophilus harrisii (Tasmanian devil). Its description in RNAcentral is "7SK RNA". It matches the Rfam family "7SK RNA". From Rfam's summary of the family: 7SK was discovered as an abundant small nuclear RNA in the mid-70s but a possible function has only recently been suggested. Two independent studies have found that 7SK RNA binds the CDK9/cyclin T complex (known as elongation factor P-TEFb). Lineage: Eukaryota; Metazoa; Chordata; Mammalia; Dasyuromorphia; Dasyuridae. The record is from Rfam by way of RNAcentral.